UUCCAGCUCCAAUAGCGUAUAUUAAAGUUGUUGCAGUUAAAAAGCUCGUAGUUGAACUUUGGGUUUGGUUGGCCCGUCCGAUUUUCUUCGUGUACGGGAUCCAACCGAACCUUUCCUUCUGGCUAACCUAGGGUACUUGUAUCCUAGGCGAACCAGGACUUUUACUUUGAAAAAAUUAGAGUGUUCAAAGCAGGCGCAAGCUCGAAUAUAUUAGCAUGGAAUAAUAGAAUAGGACGUUUGGUUCUAUUUUGUUGGUUUCUAGGACCAUCGUAAUGAUUAAUAGGGACGGUCGGGGGCAUCAGUAUUCAAUUGUCAGAGGCGAAAUUCUUGGAUUUAUUGAAGACUAACUACUGCGAAAGCAUUUGCCAAGGACGUUUUCAUUAAUCAAGAACGAAAGUUAGGGGAUCGAAGAUGAUCAGAUACCGUCGUAGUCUUAACCAUAAACUAUGCCGACUAGGGAUCGGGUGGCGUUUUCUUAUGACCCACUCGGCACCUUACGAGAAAUCAGAGUCUUUGGGUUCUGGGGGGAGUAUGGUCGCAAGGCUGAAACUUAAAGGAAUUGACGGAAGGGCACCACCAGGAGUGGAGCCUGCGGCUUAAUCUGACUCAACACGGGGAAACUCACCAGGUCCAGACACAAUAAGGAUUGAUAGAUUGAGAGCUCUUUCUUGAUUUUGUGGGUGGUGGUGCAUGGCCGUUCUUAGUUGGUGGAGUGAUUUGUCUGCUUAAUUGCGAUAACGAACGAGACCUUAACCUGCUAAAUAGUGCUGCUAGCAUUUGCUGGUUGCGCACUUCUUAGAGGGACUAUCGGUUUCAAGCCGAUGGAAGUUUGAGGCAAUAACAGGUCUGUGAUGCCCUUAGACGUUCUGGGCCGCACGCGCGCUACACUGACGGAGCCAGCGAGUACAACCUUGGCCGAGAGGUCUGGGUAAUCUUGUGAAACUCCGUCGUGCUGGGGAUAGAGCAUUGCAAUUAUUGCUCUUCAACGAGGAAUUCCUAGUAAGCGCAAGUCAUCAGCUUGCGUUGAUUACGUCCCUGCCCUU
This 1043-nucleotide ribosomal RNA is filed under the name uncultured eukaryote. Its description in RNAcentral is "SSU rRNA". It matches the Rfam family "Eukaryotic small subunit ribosomal RNA", at positions 583 to 1660 of the family's 1831-position model. The record is from RNAcentral.